GCUCCAGUGGUUUAGUGGUUAGAGUGUCUGCCUCAGAUGCGGGUCGUGGGUUCGAUCCACAGUCGAGUCA
Molecule: non-coding RNA, 70 nt
Organism: Potamilus streckersoni
Lineage: Eukaryota; Metazoa; Mollusca; Bivalvia; Unionida; Unionidae
Source: the annotation of a GenBank genome assembly